RNAcentral lists this ribosomal RNA (549 nucleotides) under uncultured bacterium. Its description in RNAcentral is "partial 16S ribosomal RNA". It matches the Rfam family "Bacterial small subunit ribosomal RNA", at positions 355 to 895 of the family's 1533-position model. The record is from RNAcentral.
UGGGGAAUUUUGGACAAUGGGCGAAAGCCUGAUCCAGCAAUGCCGCGUGUGUGAAGAAGGCCUUCGGGUUGUAAAGCACUUUUGUCCGGAAAGAAAUCCUUGGCUCUAAUACAGUCGGGGGAUGACGGUACCGGAAGAAUAAGCACCGGCUAACUACGUGCCAGCAGCCGCGGUAAUACGUAGGGUGCAAGCGUUAAUCGGAAUUACUGGGCGUAAAGCGUGCGCAGGCGGUUUGCUAAGACCGAUGUGAAAUCCCCGGGCUCAACCUGGGAACUGCAUUGGUGACUGGCAGGCUAGAGUAUGGCAGAGGGGGGUAGAAUUCCACGUGUAGCAGUGAAAUGCGUAGAGAUGUGGAGGAAUACCGAUGGCGAAGGCAGCCCCCUGGGCCAAGUACUGACGCUCAUGCACGAAAGCGUGGGGAGCAAACAGGAUUAGAUACCCCUGGUAGUCCACGCCCUAAANGAUGUCAACUAGUUGUUGGGGAUUCAUUUCCUUAGUAACGUAGCUAACGCGUGAAGUUGACCGCCUGGGGAGUACGGUCGCAAGAUU